ACACAUGCAAGUCGAACGGAAAGGCCCUUCGGGGUGCUCGAGUGGCGAACGGGUGAGUAACACGUGGGUGAUCUGCCCUGCACUUUGGGAUAAGCCUGGGAAACUGGGUCUAAUACCGAAUAGGACUCCGGACUGCAUGGUCUGGGGUGGAAAGCUUUUGCGGUGUGGGAUGGGCCCGCGGCCUAUCAGCUUGUUGGUGGGGUGAUGGCCUACCAAGGCGACGACGGGUAGCCGGCCUGAGAGGGUGACCGGCCACACUGGGACUGAGAUACGGCCCAGACUCCUACGGGAGGCAGCAGUGGGGAAUAUUGCACAAUGGGCGCAAGCCUGAUGCAGCGACGCCGCGUGAGGGAUGACGGCCUUCGGGUUGUAAACCUCUUUCAGCACAGACGAAGCGCGAGUGACGGUAUGUGCAGAAGAAGGACCGGCCAACUACGUGCCAGCAGCCGCGGUAAUACGUAGGGUCCGAGCGUUGUCCGGAAUUACUGGGCGUAAAGAGCUCGUAGGUGGUUUGUCGCGUUGUUCGUGAAAACUCACAGCUUAACUGUGGGCGUGCGGGCGAUACGGGCAGACUGGAGUACUGCAGGGGAGACUGGAAUUCCUGGUGUAGCGGUGGAAUGCGCAGAUAUCAGGAGGAACACCGGUGGCGAAGGCGGGUCUCUGGGCAGUAACUGACGCUGAGGAGCGAAAGCGUGGGGAGCGAACAGGAUUAGAUACCCUGGUAGUCCACGCCGUAAACGGUGGGUAUAGGUGUGGGUUUCCUUCCUUGGGAUCCGUGCCGUAUGAACGCAUUAAGUACCCGCCUGGGGAGUACGGCGCAAGGCUAAAACUCAAAGGAAUUGACGGGGGGCCCCACAAGCGGCGGAGCAUGUGGAUUAAUUCGAUGCAACGCGAAGAACCUUACCUGGGUUUGACAUGCACAGGACGCCGGCAGAGAUGUCGUUCCCUUGUGGCUGUGUGCAGGUGGUGCAUGGCUGUCGUCAGCUCGUGUCGUGAGAUGUUGGGUUAAGUCCCGCAACGAGCGCAACCCUUGUCUCAUGUUGCCAGCACGUAAUGGUGGGGACUCGUGAGAGACUGCCGGGGUCAACUCGGAGGAAGGUGGGAUGACGUCAAGUCAUCAUGCCCCUUAUGUCCAGGGCUUCACACAUGCUACAAUGGCCGGUACAAAGGGCUGCGAUGCCGUGAGGUGGAGCGAAUCCUUUCAAAGCGGUCUCAGUUCGGAUCGGGGUCUGCAACUCGACCCCGUGAAGUCGGAGUCGCUAGUAAUCGCAGAUCAGCAACGCUGCGGUGAAUACGUUCCCGGGCCUUGUACACACCGCCCGUCACGUCAUGAAAGUCGGUAACACCCGAAGCCGGUGGCCUAACCCCUUGUGGGAGGGAGCCGUCGAAGGUGGGAUCGGCGAUUGGGACGAAGUCGUAACAAGGUAGCGUACCGGAAGGUGCGGUUGGAUCACCUCCUU
Molecule: ribosomal RNA, 1460 nt
Filed under: Mycolicibacterium peregrinum
Lineage: Bacteria; Bacillati; Actinomycetota; Actinomycetes; Mycobacteriales; Mycobacteriaceae
Description: bacterial SSU rRNA
Rfam family: Bacterial small subunit ribosomal RNA
Source: RNAcentral